ACUGAUACAGGGCUUUUUGAGUCUUGUAGGAAUAAGUACAAUUUAAUUCCCGUAACGGGGAACAAUCGGAGAGCAAGUCUGGUGCAGCAGCCGCGCUAAGUCCAACUCCAA
RNAcentral lists this non-coding RNA (111 nucleotides) under Pseudogymnoascus sp. VKM F-4516 (FW-969). The record is from Rfam by way of RNAcentral. Lineage: Eukaryota; Fungi; Ascomycota; Leotiomycetes; Thelebolales; Thelebolaceae.